CCGCCGGCGACCGGCGCACGGGUGAGUAACACGUAUGCAACCUGGCCGUGACAGAUGGAUAACCGGGAGAAAUCCCGCCUAAUACAACAUAAUGCCGGGAGGGGACAUCCCCUGCCGGCCAAAGGGGCGACCCCGGUCACGGAUGGGCAUGCGGCGCAUUGGUAGUUGGUGGGGCAACGGCCCACCAAGCCGACGAUGCGUAGGGGUUCUGAGAGGAAGGUCCCCCACAUUGGAACUGAGACACGGUCCAAACUCCUACGGGAGGCAGCAG
This 271-nucleotide ribosomal RNA is filed under the name uncultured bacterium. Its description in RNAcentral is "partial 16S ribosomal RNA". It matches the Rfam family "Bacterial small subunit ribosomal RNA", at positions 85 to 354 of the family's 1533-position model. The record is from RNAcentral.